CAGAUGAACGCUGGCGGCAGGCUUAACACAUGCAAGUCGAGCGGGGGAAGGUAGCUUGCUACCGGACCUAGCGGCGGACGGGUGAGUAAUGCUUAGGAAUCUGCCUAUUAGUGGGGGACAACAUCUCGAAAGGGAUGCUAAUACCGCAUACGUCCUACGGGAGAAAGCAGGGGAUCUUCGGACCUUGCGCUAAUAGAUGAGCCUAAGUCGGAUUAGCUAGUUGGUGGGGUAAAGGCCUACCAAGGCGACGAUCUGUAGCGGGUCUGAGAGGAUGAUCCGCCACACUGGGACUGAGACACGGCCCAGACUCCUACGGGAGGCAGCAGUGGGGAAUAUUGGACAAUGGGGGGAACCCUGAUCCAGCCAUGCCGCGUGUGUGAAGAAGGCCUUAUGGUUGUAAAGCACUUUAAGCGAGGAGGAGGCUACUUUAGUUAAUACCUAGAGAUAGUGGACGUUACUCGCAGAAUAAGCACCGGCUAACUCUGUGCCAGCAGCCGCGGUAAUACAGAGGGUGCGAGCGUUAAUCGGAUUUACUGGGCGUAAAGCGUGCGUAGGCGGCUUAUUAAGUCGGAUGUGAAAUCCCCGAGCUUAACUUGGGAAUUGCAUUCGAUACUGGUGAGCUAGAGUAUGGGAGAGGAUGGUAGAAUUCCAGGUGUAGCGGUGAAAUGCGUAGAGAUCUGGAGGAAUACCGAUGGCGAAGGCAGCCAUCUGGCCUAAUACUGACGCUGAGGUACGAAAGCAUGGGGAGCAAACAGGAUUAGAUACCCUGGUAGUCCAUGCCGUAAACGAUGUCUACUAGCCGUUGGGGCCUUUGAGGCUUUAGUGGCGCAGCUAACGCGAUAAGUAGACCGCCUGG
This 856-nucleotide ribosomal RNA is filed under the name Acinetobacter baumannii. RNAcentral describes it as "bacterial SSU rRNA". It matches the Rfam family "Bacterial small subunit ribosomal RNA", at positions 25 to 876 of the family's 1533-position model. The record is from RNAcentral. Lineage: Bacteria; Pseudomonadati; Pseudomonadota; Gammaproteobacteria; Moraxellales; Moraxellaceae.